Molecule: ribosomal RNA, 425 nt
Filed under: uncultured bacterium
Lineage: Bacteria
Description: bacterial SSU rRNA
Rfam family: Bacterial small subunit ribosomal RNA
Source: RNAcentral
GGGGAAUAUUGCACAAUGGAGGAAACUCUGAUGCAGCAACGCCGCGUGAGUGAUGAAGGCCUUCGGGUCGUAAAACUCUGUUGUUAGGGAAGAACAAGUAUCGGAGUAACUGCCGGUACCUUGACGGUACCUAACCAGAAAGCCACGGCUAACUACGUGCCAGCAGCCGCGGUAAUACGUAGGUGGCAAGCGUUGUCCGGAAUUAUUGGGCGUAAAGCGCGCGCAGGCGGUCCUUUAAGUCUGAUGUGAAAGCCCACGGCUCAACCGUGGAGGGUCAUUGGAAACUGGGGGACUUGAGUGCAGAAGAGGAAAGCGGAAUUCCACGUGUAGCGGUGAAAUGCGUAGAGAUGUGGAGGAACACCAGUGGCGAAGGCGGCUUUCUGGUCUGUAACUGACGCUGAGGCGCGAAAGCGUGGGGAGCAAAC